UCCUUUACCAACCACGUUUCUUGGUUCUUUCCCCGCAACUAAUUUUCCUGACUACACUAGGAGGUGGAGGAUCUCUAUAGCUGGUUGAUUUAAUCCUCAUAUAUUUUACUAAGUCACUUAAGUCGUGUCUGACUCUGUGCGACCCUAUGGACUGUAACCUGCCAAGUUCCUCUGUUCAUGGGAUUCUCCAGACAAGAAUACUAGAGUGGAUUGCCGUUUCCUUCUCCAUAUCUUUUACAGAAGCAUGUAAAUCAGGUGUUUGAUCUGUCAGCAGACUGUAUGGACAGUCUUCUAUGCCUCGUGCAUCGAGCAAAGUGCUUCGGGAGGCACAAAGAUGAAUAAGACGUGACCCUUGUUCCCCAGGAUCCUGCCAAGUGGAUGAAGAGAAAGGACAUAUACAUAACAAGAUAACUGAUGACCCAACUCAGCCCGUUGCUGAUUUUAAGUUUCUAAUGAAAAAGGCAGAAGAACCAGAGAUCAAAUUGCCAACAUCCUUUGGAUCAUAGAAAAAGCAAGAGAAUUCCAGAAAAACAUCUACUUCUGCUUUGUUGACUAUGCUUGAGCCUUUGACUGUGUGGAUCAAAACAAACUGUGGAACAUUCUUAAAGAGAUGGGAAUACCAGACGACCUUACUGCCUCCUGAGAAAUCUGCAUGCAGGUCAAGAAGCAACAGUUAGAACUGGACAUGGAACAACAGACUGGUUCCAAAUUGGGAAAGGGGUAUGUCAAGGCUGCUUGUUUAUUUUACUUACAUGCAGAGUGCAUCAUGAGAAAGGCUGGGCUGGAUGAAGCACAAGCGGGAAUCAAGAUUGCCAGGAGAAAUAUCAGUAACCUCAGAUAUGCAGAUGAUACUACCCUUAUGGCAGAAAGCAAAGAAGAACUAAAGAGCCUCUUGAUGAAAGUGAAAGAGGAGAGUGAAAAAGUUGGGUUAAAACUCAACAUUCAGAAAACUAAGAUCAUGGCAUCCGGUCCCAUCACUUCAUGGCAAAUAGAUGGGGAAACAAUGGAAACAGUGAGAGACUAUUUUCUUGGGCUCCAAAAUCACUGCAGAUGGUGACUGCAGCCAUGAAAUUAAAAGACACUUGCUCCUUGAAUGAAAAGCUAUGACUAACCUAGGCAGCAUACUAAAACACAGAGACAUUACUUUGCCAGCAAAGGUCCAUCUAGUCAAAGCUUUGGUUUUUCCAGUAGUCAUGUAUGGAUGUGAGAGUUGAACUAUAAAGAAAACUGAGUGCUGAAGAAUUGAUGCUUUUGAACUGUGGUGUUGGAUAAGACUCUUGAGAGUCCCUUAGACUGCAAGAAGAUCAAACUGGUCAGUCCUAAAGGAAAUCAGUCCUGAAUAUUCAUCGGAAGGACUGAUGCUGAAGCUGAAACUCCAAUUCUUUGGCCACCUGAUGUGAAGAACUGACUCAUUGGAAAAGGCCCUGAUGCUGGGAAAGAUUGAAGGCGGGGGAGAAGGGGACAACAGGGGAUAAGAUGGUUGGAUGGCAUCACCAACUUGAUGGACAUGAGUUUAAGCAAGCUCCAGGAGUUGGUGAUGGACAGGGAAGCCUGGUGUGCUGCAAUCCACGGGGUGGCAAAGAGUCAGACAUGACUGAGUGACUGAACUGAAUGAAAGAUUAUAUCUUCUUUAAAAACUUUAUUUAUUUGUGCCAAGUCUUAGUUGCAGCAUGUGGGAUCUAGUUUCCUGGUAAGGGAUAGAACUUGGACCCCCUGUAUUGGGAGUGUGGUGUCUUAGUCACUGGACCAGGGAAGUCCUGAGAUUACAUCCUAUUUAACUGAAUUCUACCAGUGUAAUAACCACAGUAACAACAACAAACAUUUAGUGCCUGCUUGCUAUAUGUUUGAGCUCAUCUAAUCUCCAGCCAGACUUUAUCCCCAUUUUACAGAUGAGGAAACUGAGGCAUAGAGAAAUUCAGUCUUGCCCAAACCUACAUAAUUGGCAAGUGGCUGAGUCAGGAUUUGAACCCACUAAAGAAUCUGUGUUCCCAUUCUCUCUUCUAUUGUCAUCUUACAAUCUUGGUACCAACAAAAUGUAUUCAAGCCAAUCCCUAUUGGCAUAACCAAAGUGUCACUGGGCAGAAGAACAAAAGUGAAGAAGAAGAAACAGCAAUACAGAAAGGGAAAGGUGGCAUGGAAUUGUCAUCAAGUGCUCCAAGUGGCUCCAGGGGUCCAGCGCUGAGCAUCCUUUGCAGUCUGCUAGAUGGAAUACAGAGUGUAUGGGAGUUCAGCAAUUAGUAGAGUAUUUGGUCUGAGUGCCUGAUACAAUUUUCCUCCCAAAUCCCAAUUUUCUAUCUGCCAAGAUAGGUGAUGGAGGUUUAUGGUUCAUGUUCGAGCACAUCUGCCUAGGCCAGGGACCUACAACUCUGAAUUUCUGGCCUGCUCCCUUCCAGCUAAAAGUGAAUCUAGAUUUACUUCCCAUCAGCAACAAGCACCAUCUCUAUGCCCUGUGAGAUCCUAGUUUUGGAAGAUUCGGCUUUUAUCCUAGGGAUAUCAAUCUAUGUGUAGAAGUCCUUAUUCUGUGGAAGAAGAGAGACUGAAACAAAAAAUAAGUGGAAACUUCUUAUCCAGGCAGAUGACAAAUAAAGUUUCAGUGUUUUUUAUAUUAAACCACCUUUUAUACCUCUGUUCUUUUAUGAAUAUAAGAGCAUGGAUGGGCUAAAAGUAAAAAAUACAGACUAAGUUCCUGUCUUGGUACAUUCAGGCUGCUCUAGCAAAAUGCCAUAGACCAGGUAGUUCGUAAACAGCAUUUAUUUCUCACAUGUCUGGAGACUAGGAUCAUCACCCCAGAUCAUGGUGCCAGCAUGGCUGAUAUGGGUCUUAAUUUUGCAUAAGUUGGGUCCUUCUCACCAUGUGGUGGAAGGGGGAGGGAUCUCUCUGAAUCCCCCUCCUUUUAAGGCGCUUAUCCCAUUCAUGAAGGGUGCACCUUCAUGUCUUAAGAACCUCUCAAAAGUACCACCUCCUUGGCCACUAGAAGGAUAAAAGGGUAGAUCAGCUUAUAAAAAUACUUGUUAAGACCCUAGAAAGUCUUAACUGGAAUGAUGGAACUCUGCCAAACCACAGAGAAAAUUCAUUCUGAAAAUACCAACAGGUUGUGUAGUCAAGUCAAUCAAAAAUUGGCUCUAUCAGAGGCAAUAUGCUCUAACAUGGACUGCUGGUCCUACUGAAUAUUUUUGUUCCCUUGACCCCUGCCACUCAUCCCCAUAACCAUUCUUCACCUAUCAGUUCAGUUCAGUUCAGUUUCUCAGUCGUGUCCGACUCUUUGUGACCCCAUGGAAUGUAGCCCACCAGACUCCUCCUCUGUCCAUGGAAUUCUCCAGGCAAGAAUACUGGAGUGAGUAGCCAUUCUCUUCUCCAGGAGAUCUUCCUGACCCAGGAAUUGAACCCAGGUCUCCCGCAUUGCGGGCAGAUUCUUUACCAUCUGAGCCACUAGGAAAGCCCAGAUUGUAUGACCUCUUGCUGAAAUACCUCCAAGUCUUCCUAAUCACUUAGAAUAAUAGCCAAACAUCUUACUAUGUCCUUAGAAGAUUCUAGAUCACUUGUCCCUGCCUACCUCUUCCGACCUCAUCUCCCUCCACUAACAUUCCAUUCAUCUCCUUGCUCUCUUUUCUACAGUGCCCUCAACCCACCUGUUAAUACAUUCCCCACAACCCCUUAUUCUAGAAUGUAAGCACCAUAAGGGCAGAGAUGUUAUCUAC
Long non-coding RNA from Dama dama (fallow deer), 3698 nucleotides. RefSeq lists it as uncharacterized. The record is from RefSeq and is a predicted model, not a curated record. NCBI's taxonomy places the organism in Eukaryota, Metazoa, Chordata, Mammalia, Artiodactyla, Cervidae. The transcript has 3 exons.